AAGAGUGGUAAUAGCUCACUGUCGAGAGUCCUGCCCCGAAAUUUCCGGGGCUGAACCACAACACCGAAGCUCAGGAUGUAUUUAUACAUGGUAGAGGAGCAUUCUAAAAGGGGCGAAGCAGUACCGAUAAGGAGCUGUGACUUUUAAGAAGAGAGAAUGCGGGAAUGAGUAGCGAGAUGAGGUGGAAAUCCUCCAGGCCGAAUAUCUAAGGUUCCCAGGGUAAAGCUGAUCUGCCCUGGGUAAGUCGGGGCCUAAGGCAAGGCUGAGAAGCGUAGCUGAUGGACAACAGGUUUAGAUUCCUGUACCACAUGAUAUCAGAACUGUGGGGACGCAGAGGGAUAAGAUGACCGGGGAACAGAACUCCGGGCAAGCGUAGGAGGUGUCAGGCAGGCAAAUCCGCCUGAUAAGCCAAAGACGUGACGCGGACCGAACUCAAGUAGGGAAGCAUCCGAUUCCAGCUGCCGAGAAAAGCCGCUAUUGUGUAUCAUGUGCCCGUACCGUAAACCGACACAGGUGGAUGAGGAGAGAAUCCUAAGGCCGGCGGGAGAAGCAUUGUUAAGGAACUCGGCAAAAUGACCCCGUAACUUCGGGAUAAGGGGUGCCAGAGAGAUCUGGCCGCAGAGAAUAGGCUCAAGCAACUGUUUAGCAAAAACACAGGUCUAUGCGAAACCGUAAGGUGAUGUAUAUGGGCUGACGCCUGCCCGGUGCUGGAAGGUUAAGAGGAGAGGUUAGAGCAAUCGAAGCUUUGAAUUGAAGCCCCAGUAAACGGCGGCCGUAACUAUAACGGUCCUAAGGUAGCGAAAUUCCUUGUCGGGUAAGUUCCGACCCGCACGAAAGGCGUAAUGAUUUGGGCACUGUCUCAACAAUGCACCCGGUGAAAUUGAAGUACCAGUGAAGAUGCUGGUUACCUGCGCCAGGACGGAAAGACCCCAUGGAGCUUUACUCCAGCUUGAUACUGGGAUUCGGUAUUGCAUGUACAGGAUAGGUGGGAGGCUGAGAACUUAUGACGCCAGUCGUAAGGGAGCCGCUGUUGGGAUACCACCCUUGCAGUAUUGGGUUUCUAACCAUCAGCCGUGAUCCGGCUGGGGGACAAUGUCAGGUGGGGAGUUUGACUGGGGCGGUCGCCUCCGAAAGGGUAUCGGAGGCGCUCAAAGGUCUUCUCAGAAUGGUUGGAAACCAUUCGCAGAGUGCAAAGGCAGAAGAAGGCUUGACUGCGACACCGACGGGUGGAGCAGGUACGAAAGUAGGACUUAGUGAUCCGGUGGUAUAAAGUGGGAUUGCCAUCGCUCAACGGAUAAAAGCUACCCUGGGGAUAACAGGCUUAUCACUCCCAAGAGUUCACAUCGACGGAGUGGUUUGGCACCUCGAUGUCGGCUCAUCGCAUCCUGGGGCUGAAGUAGGUCCCAAGGGUUGGGCUGUUCGCCCAUUAAAGCGGUACGCGAGCUGGGUUCAGAACGUCGUGAGACAGUUCGGUCCCUAUCCGGCGUGGGCGUAGGAUAUUUGAGAGGAGCUGUCCUUAGUACGAGAGGACCGGGAUGGACUGGCCGCUGGUUGAUCUGUUGUUCCGCCAGGAGCAUAGCAGAGUAGCCNAGCCGGGACGGGAUAAACGCUGAAGGCAUCUAAGCGUGAAGCCCCCCUCAAGAUGAGAUAUCCCAACGAAAGUUGUAAGACCCCUUGAAGACGACAAGGUAGAAUGGACAGAGGUGGAAGUGUGGUANCACAUGGAGCUGACUGUUACUAAUAGGUCGAGGGCAUA
RNAcentral lists this ribosomal RNA (1756 nucleotides) under human gut metagenome. RNAcentral's name for it is "bacterial LSU rRNA". It matches the Rfam family "Bacterial large subunit ribosomal RNA", at positions 1126 to 2925 of the family's 2925-position model. The record is from RNAcentral.